RNAcentral lists this ribosomal RNA (478 nucleotides) under uncultured bacterium. RNAcentral's name for it is "partial 16S ribosomal RNA". It matches the Rfam family "Bacterial small subunit ribosomal RNA", at positions 28 to 523 of the family's 1533-position model. The record is from RNAcentral.
GACGAACGCUGGCGGCGUGCUUAACACAUGCAAGUCGAACGGUAAGGCCCUUCGGGGUACACGAGUGGCGAACGGGUGAGUAACACGUGGGUGAUCUGCCCUGCACUUCGGGAUAAGCCUGGGAAACUGGGGCUAAUACCGGAUAGGACGCCGGACUGCAUGGUCUGGGGUGGAAAGCUUUUGCGGUGUGGGAUGGGCCCGCGGCCUAUCAGCUUGUUGGUGGGGUGAUGGCCUACCAAGGCGACGACGGGUAGCCGGCCUGAGAGGGUGACCGGCCACACUGGGACUGAGAUACGGCCCAGACUCCUACGGGAGGCAGCAGUGGGGAAUAUUGCACAAUGGGCGCAAGCCUGAUGCAGCGACGCCGCGUGAGGGAUGACGGCCUUCGGGUUGUAAACCUCUUUCAGCAUCGACGAAGCGGAAGUGACGGUAGGUGCAGAAGAAGGACCGGCCAACUACGUGCCAGCCGCCGCCGUAA